Long non-coding RNA from Acinonyx jubatus (cheetah), 803 nucleotides. RefSeq lists it as uncharacterized. The transcript is spliced from 2 exons. Lineage: Eukaryota; Metazoa; Chordata; Mammalia; Carnivora; Felidae. The record is from RefSeq and is a predicted model, not a curated record.
GCGCCUGUCCUCCAAGAAUUUGGGGCCUGGGAGAAUGGGCCGGCCCCGCCUGUGAGCAGUGUCAUUGUCACCUGAGAGACGAGUGGUGCCAUUUCCUGGAGAACUAAACCUAGGUAGUACACUUAGGUUGUUCGGCACGCAUUUGUAACGGCAUAGAAGGAAAACACCAUGCAAAUGCCAAAAUGGGGAAGUAGGAUCAUACAAGGAAAAGUACAAUAAUGAAGUUAUAGAAAAUAAGAUUGAUUUUGACAGGAAUUGGGGUAGUCUUUAUCUCUAAAAAAAUGUUAAAGUUUAUUUAUUUUGAGAGAGGUGGGGGGAUGGACAGAGAGAGAGAGAGAGAGAGAGAGAGAAUCCCAAACAGGCUCCGUGCUAUCAGCACAGAACCUGAUGCAAGGCUUGAACUCACGAACUGUGAGAUCAUGACCCAAGCCAAAACCAAGAGUUGGACGUUUAGCCAGCUAAGCCACCCAGGCAUCCCGGAUUUAGGUAGUCUUAAUGGGUGACAGUCUUAAGGGAUGGACAAGAUUCUCUUUUUACUUUAAAUGCUUUUUCUGAGUAUAAAAGUAGUACAGGGGUGCCUGGGUGGCUUAGUCAGUUAAGUGUCUGAAUCUUGAUUUUGGCUCAGGUCAUGAUCUCGUGGUUCGUGGGUUUGAGCCCCGCAUCGGGCUCUGUGCUGACAGUUCAGAGUCUGGAGCCUGCUUUGGAUUCUGUGUCUCCCUCUCUCUGUGCCCCUCCCCGCUCAUACUCUGUAUCUCUCUCUCUCUCUCUCAAAAAUAAAUAAUAAAGAUUAAAAAAAUAAAAAA